Molecule: transfer RNA, 74 nt
Filed under: Novosphingobium arvoryzae
Lineage: Bacteria; Pseudomonadati; Pseudomonadota; Alphaproteobacteria; Sphingomonadales; Sphingomonadaceae
Also listed under: 5 other names
Description: tRNA-Gln
Rfam family: tRNA
About the family: Transfer RNA (tRNA) molecules are approximately 80 nucleotides in length. Their secondary structure includes four short double-helical elements and three loops (D, anti-codon, and T loops).
Source: RNAcentral
UGCCCCGUCGUCUAAUGGCAAGACUACGGAUUCUGAUUCCGUCUAUCGAGGUUCGAAUCCUCGCGGGGCAUCCA